AGUCCCCAUCAGUUCUCAAUAGAACUUUCGUGGCCCCAUCUGUACAAUUACUUGUGUUGAAGGGAGGACUCACCAAAUGGAUCUUCCACAUUUUCAGAGCAGUGCUAAAAAUUUAAAUUCACCAGACAUCAUCAGACUCCAUCUCUUCAGUUUCUGAUGAAGAUGUGUGACAAUUAACUUCAGCAGUGCUGGAAACAACUGGCAGAGUAAUGGAAGCCAUCAAGGCUUCCUUUCCUCUAGGCUGAAGUUCUCUACCGUUUUUCUUAGCUGCACUGAAUAAGCAGAGACCACACUAUACUUGUGGGACUGAGCUGGAAACAAGUUCAUUAAACUAACAAAAUGAGACAGGUAUGUAGCAGAACUGUCAGGAGGAGCCAGCAUUGAUCCAACUCAGUGUCUUACUAAUGAAGCACUGUAUUUAUGGGUGUAGUACUAAAGGUUUGUAAGGUGAUGAACCAUUUAUGUAAUUUUCUGUGAUUUUGCAAGUUUUAACGACUUGUGUCAAUUUGGAUAUAAUGAAUCAGAUGUGUAUGUGAGGCAGGUUAAACAGUCGCAUCUUCAAAAAUAAGGAUUUUUUUUCUGACUUGGUUUUGAAAGCUAACACAGAAACUGGCCAGUGAAUUGAUAGAAAUGCUUUCAUGAGUGUUGAUUUGUUUCGAGCAGUAUC
Molecule: long non-coding RNA, 667 nt
Organism: Pseudopipra pipra
Lineage: Eukaryota; Metazoa; Chordata; Aves; Passeriformes; Pipridae
Exons: 3
Source: RefSeq, a predicted model, not a curated record